Neogale vison (American mink) is the source of this 870-nucleotide long non-coding RNA. RefSeq lists it as uncharacterized. The record is from RefSeq and is a predicted model, not a curated record. The transcript is spliced from 3 exons. Lineage: Eukaryota; Metazoa; Chordata; Mammalia; Carnivora; Mustelidae.
GGAUGACAACUGAAAUUUCUACUUCAGUUUUCUUCCCUGUGUUUCCUGGAAAUCAGGAGCAGCUCUUGGGAAGAAGGGGGCCACCCCUCGCCCAGUGAGGACCACCAGGCCAACCUUGCAGAGCACGAAGAAGGAAGCAGAUCCAGUGUGGGGCCUUCUUCGCUUGAGUAGCUGACAGACAUUCCACUGCCAAGUAAUGGAGAAUCUGGCACAAUCCCUGAAGAGCCUCAGCCAACUGGAACUUUGGAAGCCACAGCUUUCUUCUGAGCUCCCCCUCAAGAUGUGUAUAGUCAUUGUGCUUGUUUUGCUUCCUCCCUGUUCUUGUUUAAAAGCCAGAUUUCUCCCUGGACAGACAGCAAAAUCUCAAUCCUCUGGGGUUGCUAUAAGGGCAGAGAGGAACAGGGAGAACAAGCUUGGGGAGGUCAGGGCGGUAUCGGGUAACCUUUCCUGAAGUAGAUCUUUAGAGUAUCCAAGCCACUGUGUUCUUUUGGACUGUCUUCAAGCAAGCGUUUCCCACAGUGCCAAACCUCAGGAUAUCAAAGAACCACUCACAAAAUAUUCUCUCUCUCAGAAGAAGCAGAAUGAUUUUGCGAAGAGGACAUUUCUGCCAACACAUAUCACAUAGACUGAGACAGUAAAAAAAAAAAAAAAAGAUUAAAAAAAGGCCUAAAGAGAAUGAGAGUGAGUUUUCAGUGGAAUGAACACAGUCAAUCCCCUUCUAAGAGUUCCUGUGAUCGGCCAACCUAAGCUACUUUGGUGGAUGCCACCUCCUCUGUGUCUCUCAAAAAUAACUAAAACAAUGGGAAACGUUGUACCUCAGUGACCAUAACUGGCCACACCUGGGUAGCCAUCAACAUCCAUAAUCAUGCA